This 253-nucleotide ribosomal RNA is filed under the name uncultured bacterium. RNAcentral describes it as "partial 16S ribosomal RNA". It matches the Rfam family "Bacterial small subunit ribosomal RNA", at positions 524 to 776 of the family's 1533-position model. The record is from RNAcentral.
UACGAAGGGGGCUAGCGUUGCUCGGAAUCACUGGGCGUAAAGCGCACGUAGGCGGCUUCUUAAGUCAGGGGUGAAAUCCUGGAGCUCAACUCCAGAACUGCCUUUGAUACUGAGGAGCUUGAGUCCGGGAGAGGUGAGUGGAAUUGCGAGUGUAGAGGUGAAAUUCGUAGAUAUUCGCAAGAACACCAGUGGCGAAGGCGGCUCACUGGCACGGUACUGACGCUGAGACGCGAAAGCGUGGGGAGCAAACAGG